RNAcentral lists this ribosomal RNA (1445 nucleotides) under uncultured marine cyanobacterium. Its description in RNAcentral is "bacterial SSU rRNA". It matches the Rfam family "Bacterial small subunit ribosomal RNA". The record is from RNAcentral. Lineage: Bacteria; Bacillati; Cyanobacteriota.
GAGUUUGAUCAUGGCUCAGGAUGAACGCUGGCGGCGUGCUUAACACAUGCAAGUCGAACGAACCUUCGGGUUAGUGGCGGACGGGUGAGUAACGCGUGGGAAUCUGCCCUCAGGAGGGGGAUAACGGUUGGAAACGGCCGCUAAUACCCCAUAUGCCGAGAGGUGAAAUGAAUUUCGCCUGAGGAUGAGCCCGCGUCUGAUUAGCUAGUUGGUGAGGUAAUGGCUCACCAAGGCAUCGAUCAGUAGCUGGUCUGAGAGGAUGAUCAGCCACACUGGGACUGAGACACGGCCCAGACUCCUACGGGAGGCAGCAGUGGGGAAUUUUCCGCAAUGGGCGCAAGCCUGACGGAGCAACGCCGCGUGAGGGAUGAAGGCCUCUGGGCUGUAAACCUCUUUUCUCAAGGAAGAAGAUCUGACGGUACUUGAGGAAUAAGCCACGGCUAAUUCCGUGCCAGCAGCCGCGGUAAUACGGGAGUGGCAAGCGUUAUCCGGAAUUAUUGGGCGUAAAGCGUCCGCAGGCGGAUUUUCAAGUCUGCUGUUAAAAAGUGGAGCUUAACUCCAUCAAGGCAGUGGAAACUGAUUGGCUUGAGUGUGGUAGGGGCAGAGGGAAUUCCCGGUGUAGCGGUGAAAUGCGUAGAUAUCGGGAAGAACACCAGUGGCGAAGGCGCUCUGCUGGGCCAUAACUGACGCUCAUGGACGAAAGCCAGGGGAGCGAAAGGGAUUAGAUACCCCUGUAGUCCUGGCCGUAAACGAUGAACACUAGGUGUCGGGGGAAUCGACCCCCUCGGUGUCGUAGCCAACGCGUUAAGUGUUCCGCCUGGGGAGUACGCACGCAAGUGUGAAACUCAAAGGAAUUGACGGGGGCCCGCACAAGCGGUGGAGUAUGUGGUUUAAUACGAUGCAACGCGAAGAACCUUACCAGGGUUUGACAUCCUGCGAAUCUCUUGGAAACGAGAGAGUGCCUUUGGGAACGCAGUGACAGGUGGUGCAUGGCUGUCGUCAGCUCGUGUCGUGAGAUGUUGGGUUAAGUCCCGCAACGAGCGCAACCCACGUUUUUAGUUGCCAGCAUUCAGUUGGGCACUCUAGAGAGACCGCCGGUGAUAAACCGGAGGAAGGUGUGGAUGACGUCAAGUCAUCAUGCCCCUUACAUCCUGGGCUACACACGUACUACAAUGCUACGGACAAAGGGCAGCAAGUUCGCGAGGACAAGCAAAUCCCAUAAACCGUGGAUCAGUUCAGAUCGUAGGCUGCAACUCGCCUACGUGAAGAAGGAAUCGCUAGUAAUCGCAGGUCAGCAUACUGCGGUGAAUACGUUCCCGGGCCUUGUACACACCGCCCGUCACACCAUGGAAGUUGGCCACGCCCGAAGUCGUCACUCCAACCCUUGUGGAGGAGGACGCCGAAGGUGGGGCUGAUGACUGGGGUGAAGUCGUAACAAGGUAACC